This 73-nucleotide transfer RNA is filed under the name Mustela putorius furo (domestic ferret). It matches the Rfam family "tRNA". From Rfam's summary of the family: Transfer RNA (tRNA) molecules are approximately 80 nucleotides in length. Their secondary structure includes four short double-helical elements and three loops (D, anti-codon, and T loops). Lineage: Eukaryota; Metazoa; Chordata; Mammalia; Carnivora; Mustelidae. The record is from Rfam by way of RNAcentral.
ACCCAGCUGGCUCUAUCGGUGGAGCACGUGACUCUUGAUCUUGGGGUUGUAGAUUCCAGCCCCACGUUGGGUG